UACAGAGGUCCCAAGCGUUGUUCGGAUUCACUGGGCGUAAAGGGUGCGUAGGCGGUCGGGUAAGUCUGAUGUGAAAUCUCACAGCUUAACUGUGAAACUGCAUUGGAUACUAUCCGGCUAGAGGAAUGGAGGGGAGACUGGAAUACUUGGUGUAGCAGUGAAAUGCGUAGAUAUCAAGUGGAACACCAGUGGCGAAGGCGAGUCUCUGGACAGCUCCUGACGCUGAGGCACGAAAGCCAGGGGAGCAAACGGG
Molecule: ribosomal RNA, 253 nt
Filed under: uncultured bacterium
Lineage: Bacteria
Description: partial 16S ribosomal RNA
Rfam family: Bacterial small subunit ribosomal RNA
Source: RNAcentral